GGGUUUCUGGCAGGGCGAGCGGCGCUCACAAGGGCCGGAAGCACGCAGAGGGCAAGCAGCAACAAUGAUCUAGCCAUUGGGCUUUAGGGAUCAGAGAAUUACAGAGAAUUGUGCUUAGAUAAAUAAAGAGUGAGAUCAGAGAUGAAGAUUGAAACCAAAUGGAGCGAAGGAAAUAGAAAAUGAUGAAAAGUUAUAAGCAGCAACAGCA
RNAcentral lists this unclassified non-coding RNA (208 nucleotides) under Hevea brasiliensis (rubber tree). The record is from RNAcentral. Lineage: Eukaryota; Viridiplantae; Streptophyta; Magnoliopsida; Malpighiales; Euphorbiaceae.